Molecule: ribosomal RNA, 1053 nt
Filed under: uncultured archaeon
Lineage: Archaea
Description: bacterial SSU rRNA
Rfam family: Archaeal small subunit ribosomal RNA
Source: RNAcentral
CACUACACGAGGACGCCACCGCGCCAGAACGCAGUCCACCGCGGGGCCUCCAAUGCACCCCAGCGCCCGAACUCACAGAGUCCCCGGGGCCCGGCGAAACCUUCCUCGGUAGUGUGAUAGGGGAUCUAAGUGCUUUACUUUGUAAGGCUUUUUUCAAGAGCAAAUAUCUUGGAGAAUAAGUGGUGGGUAAGACUGGUGCCAGCAGCCGCGGUAACCCCAGCGCCACAAGUAGCAGCCGAUAUUAUGGGCCUAAAGCGUCCGUAGCCGGCUGAGUGAAUCUUUGUGAAAUUGUUGCGCUUAACGUAACAACGUGCAGGAGACACUGCUCAGCUUGGAACCGGGAGGAGUUAGAGGUAUUAACGGGGUAGCGGUAAAAUGCUAUAAUCCCAUUAGGACCACCUGUGGCGAAGGCGUCUAACUAGAACGGAUUCGACGGUGAGGGACGAAAGCUAGGGGAGCAAUCCGGAUUAGAUACCCGAGUAGUCCUAGCUGUAAACGCUGCGAGCCAAGUGUUACAGAUUCUUUGUGAAUCUGUGGUGUUGAAACGAAGGUGUUAAGCUCGCCGCCUGGGAAGUACGGUCGCAAGACUGAAACUUAAAGGAAUUGGCGGGGGAGCACCACAAGGGGUGCGGCGUGCGGUUUAAUCGAACUCAACGCCGAAAAUCUCACCAGGAGCGACGGCAGAAUGAAAGUCAGAUUGAAGGUCUUACUUGACGAGCCGAGAGGUAGUGCAUGGCCGUCGUCAGCUCGUGCCGUGAGGUGUCCUGUUAAGUCAGGCAACGAGCGAGACCUGUACCUACAAUUGCUAACAACUCUUUCAGAGGAUUGAGCACAUUGUAGGGACUGCCUGUGAAAACAGGAGGAAGGUGCAGGCAACGGUAGGUCUGUAUGCUCCGAAUCUCUUGGGCUACACGCGCGCAACAAUGGUAGGGACAAUGGGACACAACUCCGAAAGGAGAAGUUAAUCCUCUAAACCCUAUCCUAGUCCGGAUUGAGGGCUGUCAUUCGCCCUCAUGACGAUGAAUCCCUAUAAUCAGAGCCUAUCCUCUGUGA